GGAAUUUUAAUCUGGGAACAUAUAACUUCAUGAUUACCCACAACUGCAUGACAACGCCGGCUACAACAUCAGCAGCAGCAUCCCGCAUCCAGCAUUCGUGCCCCGAAAAGUCACGAAAUCUGUGCAAGAAACCGGGGGAAAAAAAAGGAAAAAAGCGCCCAAAAAAAUCCGAAAAGAAAUGAGAAAAAAGUGAUUGAUGGAAAUUGCUCAAAUUGUCAUGUUUAUGAACGUCCGCAGGAUACGAAGCCGACAGAGCGGAUUGUGGCUAAAAUGUGCACGCAAUGCGACAGCAAUUUGCAAUCAACCAAGUGCAGGUUGACUACAUACUGCAAGGCAGGCAGAACGAACUACAAAUGCUCUACAAAUAUGAGAGCUGGAUCGAGCGGGGCGCCGGACGCCCUUUCAAUGGCUGCAUUCUCAAUGAAAUUUGAUGAGCUCUUUGGUAACCGAAUACCGCAAAAACGGACACAAAACUCAAGAACAAAGACCAAAAAAUACCGAGAAGUGCGCAGCUCUUGGCUGCCUUCAGUUGGCAAACAUAGCGACAGGAGUUGAGACUCCAAAAAAAAACUAUAUUUAUAAAACAGUUGCCACAUAAGGAUGUGGCUGAGCGGCACGUCAUGUGGCGCGACUGCCGCUGCUGCCGUUGCUGCCGGUGCUGCUGUUGCAAGGUGUUGGCUUAAAGAACGAAAGCAACUAACCACAAUCUGAGCCGCCACCGAAUGCAUUUGUCGCAACGCAUCAGCCCGUUGCUGUUGCGAAUUUUAAACGCUUCUGACGCUUUACAAUUGGACGCACGCGGCACCAACGUGUGGCAAGUGGUGCCAGUGUGGCAACUGUGGUAAGUAUUCAAAUGCAUUUCACUCCAUUUCAUUUCCAACCCAUACACAAUCACUUUAAUUAAACGAAACUCAUGUUU
Molecule: long non-coding RNA, 919 nt
Organism: Drosophila mojavensis
Lineage: Eukaryota; Metazoa; Arthropoda; Insecta; Diptera; Drosophilidae
Exons: 3
Source: RefSeq, a predicted model, not a curated record